RNAcentral lists this ribosomal RNA (330 nucleotides) under uncultured bacterium. Its description in RNAcentral is "bacterial SSU rRNA". It matches the Rfam family "Bacterial small subunit ribosomal RNA", at positions 568 to 898 of the family's 1533-position model. The record is from RNAcentral.
CGCGCAGGCGGUUUCUCAAGUCAGUGGUGAAAGCCCGGAGCUCAACUCCGGAACUGCCAUUGAAACUGUGAGACUCGAGGACGAGAGAGGUGAGUGGAAUUCCCAGUGUAGAGGUGAAAUUCGUAGAUAUUGGGAAGAACACCGGUGGCGAAGGCGGCUCACUGGCUCGUUUCUGACGCUCAGGCGCGACAGCGUGGGGAUCAAACAGGAUUAGAUACCCUGGUAGUCCACGCCGUAAACGAUGAACGCUAGCCGUUGGAUAGCUUGCUAUUCAGUGGCGCAGCUAACGCAUUAAGCGUUCCGCCUGGGGAGUACGGCCGCAAGGUUGAA